Molecule: ribosomal RNA, 670 nt
Filed under: Micromonospora sp. 310
Lineage: Bacteria; Bacillati; Actinomycetota; Actinomycetes; Micromonosporales; Micromonosporaceae
Description: bacterial SSU rRNA
Rfam family: Bacterial small subunit ribosomal RNA
Source: RNAcentral
GCGGAGUGGCCCUUCGGGGUACUCGAGCGGCGAACGGGUGAGUAACACGUGAGCAACCUGCCCCAAGCUUUGGGAUAACCCUCGGAAACGGGGGCUAAUACCGAAUAGGACUUCUGGCCGCAUGGCUGGUGGUGGAAAGUUUUUCGGCUUGGGAUGGGCUCGCGGCCUAUCAGCUUGUUGGUGGGGUGAUGGCCUACCAAGGCGACGACGGGUAGCCGGCCUGAGAGGGCGACCGGCCACACUGGGACUGAGACACGGCCCAGACUCCUACGGGAGGCAGCAGUGGGGAAUAUUGCACAAUGGGCGGAAGCCUGAUGCAGCGACGCCGCGUGAGGGAUGACGGCCUUCGGGUUGUAAACCUCUUUCAGCAGGGACGAAGCGAGAGUGACGGUACCUGCAGAAGAAGCACCGGCCAACUACGUGCCAGCAGCCGCGGUAAGACGUAGGGUGCGAGCGUUGUCCGGAUUUAUUGGGCGUAAAGAGCUCGUAGGCGGCUUGUCGCGUCGACCGUGAAAACUUGGGGCUCAACCCCAAGCCUGCGGUCGAUACGGGCAGGCUAGAGUUCGGUAGGGGAGACUGGAAUUCCUGGUGUAGCGGUGAAAUGCGCAGAUAUCAGGAGGAACACCGGUGGCGAAGGCGGGUCUCUGGGCCGAUACUGACGCUGAGGAGC